CUUGUCGGCGGAGGGGAGUAUUCCUUCGCUGCGGUGUCGUCAUCACGUCGGUCGUCUACGGACCGAUCGGUGCCGCAGACCGGUCGGCACGGCCGGUGGAAGAGACCUCCGGCGUUGUU
This 119-nucleotide unclassified non-coding RNA is filed under the name Mycolicibacterium mageritense DSM 44476 = CIP 104973. RNAcentral's name for it is "yybP-ykoY". Lineage: Bacteria; Bacillati; Actinomycetota; Actinomycetes; Mycobacteriales; Mycobacteriaceae. The record is from RNAcentral.